GACAGAGGGGGCAAGCGUUGCUCGGAAUCACUGGGCGUAAAGGGCGCGUAGGCGGGAUGGCAAGUCGGUCGUGAAAUCCUUCGGCUCAACCGAAGAACGUCGGCCGAUACUGCCGUUCUUGAGGGAUGCAGAGGAGAUUGGAAUUCCCGGUGUAGCGGUGAAAUGUGUAGAGAUCGGGAGGAACACCGGUGGCGAAGGCGGGUCUCUGGGCAUCUCCUGACGCUGAGGCGCGAAAGCGUGGGUAGCAAACAGG
Molecule: ribosomal RNA, 253 nt
Filed under: uncultured bacterium
Lineage: Bacteria
Description: partial 16S ribosomal RNA
Rfam family: Bacterial small subunit ribosomal RNA
Source: RNAcentral